GACAAGGGUCAGACAUGGGCUUCUCCUAUACAGGGUCAGGGUCAACUUGAUCCUUACUCCUCUGAUCUUGAGCAGAAGCGUCUUAUGCUCCAGAGGUUUCAAGAGGAGAACCCUGGAUUUGACUUCUCACAAGCUCAGUUUUCGGGCAACUGUCCUGAUCCAAGGACCUUCAUGGGGGGAAUUCACUUAGGUUGACGAAUAUGGUGUGGCAUUUAUAACUUGCAUGGUUGUGACAUUCAGUAAAUAAUGUAGAUUUUCUACUGGUCUUGAUUUAUUCAAAUCCCUGUAAUGACCGCGAUUUGUGAGAAGAAUAUGUACCGAGUCUAUGUGCAAUCGCUGUAAUGAAG
RNAcentral lists this unclassified non-coding RNA (347 nucleotides) under Hevea brasiliensis (rubber tree). Lineage: Eukaryota; Viridiplantae; Streptophyta; Magnoliopsida; Malpighiales; Euphorbiaceae. The record is from RNAcentral.